UCCCGUGUGGCUCAGUUGGUAGAGCAUGGUGUUUGCAACGCCAGGAUUGUGGGUUUGUUUCCCACGGGAG
Salmo salar (Atlantic salmon) is the source of this 70-nucleotide non-coding RNA. The record is from Rfam. NCBI's taxonomy places the organism in Eukaryota, Metazoa, Chordata, Actinopteri, Salmoniformes, Salmonidae.